Unclassified non-coding RNA from Pongo abelii (Sumatran orangutan), 148 nucleotides. It matches the Rfam family "Metazoan signal recognition particle RNA". Rfam says of the family: The signal recognition particle (SRP) is a universally conserved ribonucleoprotein. It is involved in the co-translational targeting of proteins to membranes. The record is from Ensembl. Lineage: Eukaryota; Metazoa; Chordata; Mammalia; Primates; Hominidae.
GCUGGGCGUGGUGGCGCACGCCUGUAGUCCCAGCUACUCGGGAGGCUGAGGCAGGAGAAUCGCUUGAACCCAGGAGGCGGAGGUUGCAGUGAGCCGAGAUCGCGCCACUGCACUACAGCCUGGGCGACAGAGUGAGACUCCGUCUCAA